This 444-nucleotide ribosomal RNA is filed under the name uncultured bacterium. RNAcentral describes it as "bacterial SSU rRNA". It matches the Rfam family "Archaeal small subunit ribosomal RNA", at positions 725 to 1164 of the family's 1478-position model. The record is from RNAcentral.
AGUGAAUAGAUACCCGGGUAGUCCCAGCUGUAAACGAUGCGCGUUAGGUGUAUCGGUGACCACGAGUCACCGAGGUGCCGAAAGGGAAACCGUGAAACGUGCCGCCUGGGAAGUACGGUCGCAAGGCUGAAACUUAAAGGAAUUGGCGGGGGGAGCACCACAACAGGUGGAGCCUGCGGUUUAAAUCGGACUCAACGCCGGGAAGCUCACCGGAUAAGACAGCUGAAUGAUAGCCGGGUUGAAGACUCUGCUUGACUAGCUGAGAGGAGGUGCAUGGCCGUCGUCAGUUCGUACUGUGAAGCAUCCUGUUAAGUCAGGCAACGAGCGAGACCCACGCCAACAGUUGCCAGCAUGUCCUCCGGGAUGGUGGGGACACUGUUGGGACCGCCUCUGCUAAAGAGGAGGAAGGAAUGGGCAACGGUAGGUCAGCAUGCCCCGAAUUAU